Molecule: non-coding RNA, 98 nt
Organism: Lojkania enalia
Lineage: Eukaryota; Fungi; Ascomycota; Dothideomycetes; Pleosporales
Source: the annotation of a GenBank genome assembly
GGUUCUGUAGUGUAGCGGUCAUCACUCCGGGUUCUGAUAAAGCAUUAGAAGUAACUGAAUGUUUUCCGGCAACCCCGGUUCGAUUCCGGGCAGGACCU